CAGAAAAGUUUCAUCAUUAUUCGGAAUGUGCUAAUGGUAUACAGCAAAAUUAAAUUUCAAUAAGUAAUAUUUUUGUCAAAAAUUAGUGCUAUUUUGUAGAUAAGCAUAUUUCUAAUGGCAUCAAAUUUCACAAACUUUUUCUUCGGACCUGGAAUAAGUACUAAAGCCAACAAUAAAGCCAAAAAAUUAUUCAUUCAUACUAAAGUAAAGUUACAACCUUUGUACUACCCAAUGAUAACAAGUAAUAUAUAAAACUGGUUAAUGAAUUUAAUAAUAAUUUUGUUCAGAGAAAUAAUUUUUCGAGGAAACAGGUCUGUUUAGUCUAAUAGAAAAGCAUUUUAUCAGAGGAUGCAUUUUUUGUUGACUCAGAAUGAAAGCAUAUCAUAAAGUAUAAUAUGUAUAAACGUAACGAAUUAAUUUUCAUUGUCCAAAAAACAAAAACAAAACAAAACAAAAAAACAAUAUAAAUGUGUAUUAAAGAUAUGAAGAACAUUAGAAUUUAUUUUCUCACUCAUUUUCACAAACAUUCUUAUAUAUCUUGGAAGAAAAUCAAAAGUUCUAUCAUAAAUACAAGACAAUUUGUGAAAUAAUAUAAUUCACAUAAGACUUUAUUCCAACAUGUAUAUCGGUUUAAAAUGAUUAACAGAGAUAUGUGUUGCAAAUUCCACAUC
Long non-coding RNA from Hydractinia symbiolongicarpus, 671 nucleotides. RefSeq lists it as uncharacterized. The record is from RefSeq and is a predicted model, not a curated record. The transcript has 2 exons. NCBI's taxonomy places the organism in Eukaryota, Metazoa, Cnidaria, Hydrozoa, Anthoathecata, Hydractiniidae.